RNAcentral lists this ribosomal RNA (222 nucleotides) under uncultured bacterium. Its description in RNAcentral is "partial 16S ribosomal RNA". It matches the Rfam family "Bacterial small subunit ribosomal RNA", at positions 16 to 228 of the family's 1533-position model. The record is from RNAcentral.
GACAUGGCUCAGGAUGAACGCUGGCGGCGUGCCUAAUACAUGCAAGUAGAACGCUGAAGCUUGGUGCUUGCACCGAGCGGAAGAGUUGCGAACGGGUGAGUAACGCGUAGGUAACCUGCCUCUUAGCGGGGGAUAACUAUUGGAACCGAUAGCUAAUACCGCAUAAAAGUCGGCAUUGCAUGAUGUUGACUUGAAAGGUGCAACUGCAUCACUAAGAGAUGG